CCUGCAUUCUCCCAGCAUCCACCAAGAGAGCAGGGCACCAGUGAUGGAGGGGUACUGAGUUCCGGUAGUAGUGACAAAGUUGAAAGAAGUAAUUGAUAAAGUCACCAUCCAAACCUCAACGCCUGCAUCCACCUGGUCAACACCCACAACAUCUGUAGACUUACCAGCUUCUGCAUGUGUUUCUCCUCAGGUUGUGUCUGAUGAUAUGGCCAUGCUCUGUAAACAUUCCCUAAUAUCAGCAUUCAGGAUGUGAGACGUAUCAUGAGAAACAAUGGAAGCUAGAACAAACAAACCACUGACAAGAAGAUAUGAAAAUAAUUUUUGCUUCCGGUUUGUUGAUCAUCUUUGGGUUGGAUUUGUGGUUCCUCUGCAGCAGGAUGGCCAUUUAAUAAGGAAGUACAACAGUUUUGUAGCCAUCCAGUGACUGAUUUCAGAGAGGCUCUUGCAUGACAUAUUCUAAUAUUAACCUACCCUAAAGACUGUUUAUACUGUGUGUUUAUUAUGUUUUGAACUGGGAUGUCGAU
Molecule: long non-coding RNA, 524 nt
Organism: Esox lucius (northern pike)
Lineage: Eukaryota; Metazoa; Chordata; Actinopteri; Esociformes; Esocidae
Source: Ensembl